RNAcentral lists this ribosomal RNA (254 nucleotides) under uncultured bacterium. Its description in RNAcentral is "partial 16S ribosomal RNA". It matches the Rfam family "Bacterial small subunit ribosomal RNA", at positions 524 to 776 of the family's 1533-position model. The record is from RNAcentral.
UACGUAGGGUGCGAGCGUUGUCCGGAAUUAUUGGGCGUAAAGGGCUCGUAGGCGGUUUGUCGCGUCGGGAGUGAAAUCAUCUGGCUUAACUGGGUGCUUGCUUUCGAUACGGGCAGACUAGAGGUAUGCAGGGGAGAACGGAAUUCCUGGUGUAGCGGUGAAAUGCGCAGAUAUCAGGAGGAACACCGGUGGCGAAGGCGGUUCUCUGGGCAUGAUCUGACGCUGAGGAGCGAAAGUGUGGGGGAGCGAACAGG